This 775-nucleotide ribosomal RNA is filed under the name uncultured Neocallimastigales. RNAcentral's name for it is "partial large subunit ribosomal RNA". It matches the Rfam family "Eukaryotic large subunit ribosomal RNA", at positions 26 to 628 of the family's 3401-position model. Lineage: Eukaryota; Fungi; Neocallimastigomycota; Neocallimastigomycetes; Neocallimastigales. The record is from RNAcentral.
CGUCUAUAUACGUAUAGCAUAUCAAUAAGCGGAGGAAAAGAAACUAACUAGGAUUCCCUCAGUAACGGCGAGUGAAGCGGGAAGAGCUCAAAUUUGAAAUCUUCAAGGUUCUACCUUGACGAAUUGUAGUUUAAAGAAGUGUUUUCUGUUGGAGUUUUGGUAAAAGUUCUUUGGAAUAGGACAUCAUAGAGGGUGAGAAUCCCGUAUUUGACCAUUAUUUCCAGCUUUGUGAUACACUUUCAAAGAGUCGGAUUGUUUGGGAAUGCAGUCCAAAAUGGGUGGUAAAUUUCAUCUAAAGCUAAAUACUGGCGAGAGACCGAUAGCGAACAAGUACCGUGAGGGAAAGAUGAAAAGAACUUUGAAAAGAGAGUUAAACAGUACGUGAAAUUGUCAAAAGGGAAGCGUUUGACACCAGUGUUGUUUUCUCGAAAAUCAAUUAAAAAUGGCGGGAUUUUGUGUUGUAUUGACUUUAUCAGCUUUCUGCACUUUUUUCCUGUCCUUUUUAAUGCACUUUUCGUUUAACAAGUCAACAUCAAUUUCUUUUGUUGUAAAAGGGUCAUUGGAAGGUGGCUUUCUUUUCGGAGAAAGUGUUUAUAGCCUUUGACUUCUGCAAUCGGAGAGAUUGAGGUCUGCAGCGUAGAUCCUUCGGGGUUAGAUACAUUUGUGCUAAGUUAUAGCCUUUCAUAGGACAACUUGUUGACUAUGAUCAGUCAUGUAGCUUACUCGCUUAUGCUAUUUUACCUACGCUUAGGAUGUUGACGAUCAGCUGAGCGCG